GCCCGGGUGGCGGAAUGGCAGACGCGGGGGGCUUAAACCCCCCUUCUCUUACAAGGGAGUAUGGGUUCGAGUCCCAUCCCGGGCACUA
This 88-nucleotide transfer RNA is filed under the name Ilumatobacteraceae bacterium. RNAcentral describes it as "tRNA-Leu". It matches the Rfam family "tRNA". Rfam says of the family: Transfer RNA (tRNA) molecules are approximately 80 nucleotides in length. The record is from RNAcentral. Lineage: Bacteria; Bacillati; Actinomycetota; Acidimicrobiia; Acidimicrobiales; Ilumatobacteraceae.